AUUGAACGCUGGCGGCAGGCCUAACACAUGCAAGUCGGACGAGCGGCGGACGGGUGAGUAAUGUAUGGGAAUCUGCCUGAUGGAGGGGGAUAACUACUGGAAACGGUAGCUAAUACCGCAUACCAUCAGAUGAACCCAUAUGGGAUUAGCUUGUUGGUGAGGUAACGGCUCACCUAGGCGACGAUCCCUAGCUGGUCUGAGAGGAUGAUCAGCCACACUGGGACUGAGACACGGCCCAGACUCCUACGGGAGGCAGCAGUGGGGAAUAUUGCACAAUGGGCGAAAGCCUGAUACAGCCAUGCCGCGUGUAUGAAGAAGGCCUUCGGGUUGUAAAGUACUUUCAGCGGGGAGGCGUUACCGACAGAAGAAGCACCGGCUAACUCCGUGCCAGCAGCCGCGGUAAUUC
RNAcentral lists this ribosomal RNA (406 nucleotides) under uncultured bacterium. RNAcentral describes it as "partial 16S ribosomal RNA". It matches the Rfam family "Bacterial small subunit ribosomal RNA", at positions 30 to 526 of the family's 1533-position model. The record is from RNAcentral.